GCAUAUCAAUAAGCGGAGGAAAAGAAACCAACAGGGAUUGCCCUAGUAACGGCGAGUGAAGCGGCAACAGCUCAAAUUUGAAAUCUGGCUCUCGGGCCCGAGUUGUAAUUUGUAGAGGAUACUUUUGAUGCGGUGCCUUCCGAGUUCCCUGGAACGGGACGCCAUAGAGGGUGAGAGCCCCGUCUGGUUGGAUGCCAAAUCUCUGUAAAGUUCCUUCGACGAGUCGAGUAGUUUGGGAAUGCUGCUCUAAAUGGGAGGUAUAUGUCUUCUAAAGCUAAAUACCGGCCAGAGACCGAUAGCGCACAAGUAGAGUGAUCGAAAGAUGAAAAGCACUUUGAAAAGAGAGUUAAAAAGUACGUGAAAUUGUUGAAAGGGAAGCGUUUAUGACCAGACUUGGGCUUGGUUAAUCAUCUGGGGUUCUCCCCAGUGCACUUUUCCAGUCCAGGCCAGCAUCAGUUUUCCCCGGGGGAUAAAGACUUCGGGAAUGUGGCUCUCUUCGGGGAGUGUUAUAGCCCGUUGUGUAAUACCCUGGGGGGGACUGAGGUUCGCGCAUCUGCAAGGAUGCUGGCGUAAUGGUCAUCAACGACCCGUCUUGAAACACGGACCAAGGAGUCGUCUUCGUAUGCGAGUGUUCGGGUGUCAAACCCCUACGCGUAAUGAAAGUGAACGCAGGUGAGAGCUUCGGCGCAUCAUCGACCGAUCCUGAUGUUCUCGGAUGGAUUUGAGUAAGAGCAUACGGGGCCGGACCCGAAAGAAGGUGAACUAUGCCUGUAUAGGGUGAAGCCAGAGGAAACUCUGGUGGAGGCUCGCAGCGGUUCUGACGUGCAAAUCGAUCGUCAAAUAUGGGCAUGGGGGCGAAAGACUAAUCGAACCUUCUAGUAGCUGGUUUCCGC
Molecule: ribosomal RNA, 893 nt
Filed under: Fusarium circinatum
Lineage: Eukaryota; Fungi; Ascomycota; Sordariomycetes; Hypocreales; Nectriaceae
Description: LSU rRNA
Rfam family: Eukaryotic large subunit ribosomal RNA
Source: RNAcentral